This 226-nucleotide long non-coding RNA is filed under the name Elaeis guineensis (African oil palm). RNAcentral's name for it is "long non-coding RNA (EGUI_LNC015036)". The record is from RNAcentral. Lineage: Eukaryota; Viridiplantae; Streptophyta; Magnoliopsida; Arecales; Arecaceae.
CUGGGUACUGAUUACUUACAAUGGGCAUCAAUUCAUAGGGGCCAAAUUCGAAGGAUCUAUGAAGAGCAUGGGAUAGCACAUCAUCUUACCUCCGUCGUCCAUCCUCAAGCUAAUGGUGAAGUCAAGGUAACAAAUUAUACUAUCUUGUGAGGGCUGAAGAUCAGGUUGCAUAAAGCCAAAGGAUCUUGGGCCGACAAGCUUUAUCAUAUGCUUUGGGUAUAUAGGA